RNAcentral lists this non-coding RNA (121 nucleotides) under Lotharella oceanica. Lineage: Eukaryota; Cercozoa; Chlorarachniophyceae. The record is from RNAcentral.
GAAAAGAGAACAUCAGGCACAUUCGAUGGGAUCAUUGAAUAUGCUUUUGAAUGUUUCCAUUCUUUUUUUGUUUUUGUUUCACUUUGUUUUUGUUUUUGUUUUUGUUUUUGGUUGUGAAAAA